AUGAACGCUGGCGGCGUGCCUAAUACAUGCAAGUCGAGCGAACAGACGAGGAGCUUGCUCCUCUGACGUUAGCGGCGGACGGGUGAGUAACACGUGGAUAACCUACCUAUAAGACUGGGAUAACUUCGGGAAACCGGAGCUAAUACCGGAUAAUAUAUUGAACCGCAUGGUUCAAUAGUGAAAGACGGUUUUGCUGCCACUUAUAGAUGGAUCCGCGCCGCAUUAGCUAGUUGGUAAGGUAACGGCUUACCAAGGCAACGAUGCGUAGCCGACCUGAGAGGGUGAUCGGCCACACUGGAACUGAGACACGGUCCAGACUCCUACGGGAGGCAGCAGUAGGGAAUCUUCCGCAAUGGGUGAAAGCCUGACGGAGCAACGCCGCGUGAGUGAUGAAGGUCUUCGGAUCGUAAAACUCUGUUAUUAGGGAAGAACAAAUGUGUAAGUAACUAUGCACGUCUUGACGGUACCUAAUCAGAAAGCCACGGCUAACUACGUG
Molecule: ribosomal RNA, 496 nt
Filed under: uncultured bacterium
Lineage: Bacteria
Description: partial 16S ribosomal RNA
Rfam family: Bacterial small subunit ribosomal RNA
Source: RNAcentral